GUAGGUGGCAAGCGUUGUCCGGAAUUAUUGGGGCGUAAAGCGCGCGCAGGCGGUUCUUUAAGUCUGAUGUGAAAGCCCACGGGCUCAACCGUGGAGGGUCAUUGGAAACUGGAGAACUUGAGUACAGAAGAGGAAAGCGGAAUUCCACGUGUAGCGGUGAAAUGCGUAGAGAUGUGGAGGAACACCAGUGGCGAAGGCUGCUUUCUGGUCUGUAACUGACGCUGAGGCGCGAAAGCGUGGGGAGCAAACAGGAUUAGAUACCCUGGUAGUCCACGCCGUAAACGAUGAGUGCUAAGUGUUAGGGGGUUUCCGCCCCUUAGUGCUGCAGCUAACGCAUUAAGCACUCCGCCUGGGGAGUACGGCCGCAAAGGCUG
RNAcentral lists this ribosomal RNA (374 nucleotides) under uncultured organism. RNAcentral's name for it is "partial 16S ribosomal RNA". It matches the Rfam family "Bacterial small subunit ribosomal RNA", at positions 527 to 896 of the family's 1533-position model. The record is from RNAcentral.